RNAcentral lists this long non-coding RNA (497 nucleotides) under Ananas comosus (pineapple). Its description in RNAcentral is "long non-coding RNA (ACOM_LNC000100)". Lineage: Eukaryota; Viridiplantae; Streptophyta; Magnoliopsida; Poales; Bromeliaceae. The record is from RNAcentral.
ACAUCCCAAGUAGCGGAUCUGACUCGUUCAAAUGGAGAUGGACCUCGCAUCAAAAGUAUUAUUUCGAAUCUAACUUAUAAAUUUGAAUUUAAAUUAAAAUUUAAUUUAUAUAAAGUUUUAUUCAAAUUUUAUUUAAAAUUUAAAUUAAAUUUAUGAAUUCAAAUUAAAAAUUUAAAUUGUAAUUUUAAGUUUAAAUUUGAAUAAAUUGAAAUUUAGUUUUAUAUUUUAAAUUAUCCACUCAACUUCAAAGUUUAAUUUUUUUAAAAAAAUAGAUUUAAAAUUAUGAUGCAAAUUUUUAAUAUUUAAUUUUUAAUUUGAAUUUAAAUUAAUAUAUUAUAAAGAUAAAUUUAGUAUAUUAAUUUGAUUACGUUUUUAAUAUUUAUCUGAAUCAAAUACCGACAAUGAGAAUGAUUUAUUUCGAUUUCGAUUCAAGUGACGAACUAAAUAGAAUUAGGUAAUGAGUCAUUUCUAUUCUAAUUCCAGUUUAUUUUGAUUCC